RNAcentral lists this long non-coding RNA (538 nucleotides) under Dromaius novaehollandiae (emu). RNAcentral's name for it is "lncRNA (ENSDNVG00000017244.1)". Lineage: Eukaryota; Metazoa; Chordata; Aves; Casuariiformes; Dromaiidae. The record is from RNAcentral.
CUACUUCUAGGCAUAUUGUCAAAUCACUGUUAAUAUGUAGAUUAAAGCAAAAAGUAAAUAACAUACAAGAAUGAGAGACACCCUGAAACCAAGAGGUUGCAUUUUCUGGUCCACUUCUUAGAACAGCUACAAAAAUAGAGUGGUAUAAAAAUGUCUGGUUCUGGGCACAAGACCUUUCUUUUGUUGCAGGUGUGGUGGAGGAGCAAUUCCAGCUUCUACAAGAGGAAAAGCACUUCAGGGGUACAGGGUGUAGAGAAGAAGAAGAAUGGUGGUGCACAUGGGAUAUGUAACCACCAAAGGGUGUGGAAGAAUCUGCCCGUGUCUUUGAGGAACUGCUGAGCUUUCCGAGAUCUUGCCCUUGACUGAGCCAUCCAAGGGAUAGCAACAUGGAGAAAGGAAUAAGGUAUACGUGUCUUCUGGAUCUAUCGAAGAGGGCUAGCAGAUGCUUAGUCUGCAAAGUUACAUGAAGGUAGAACUAGAAUCUGAAUCAGCUUUUCCCUGAAGAGACAAAGAUAAUAUCUUGAAAGUAAGUAUUGCU